AUUGGCUAAUACAAAUAGAUCCGUAGAUUUCCGAAUAGGGUAACCUAUUCUGAUGAAGUCAGAAUAUCUUAAUAAACAAUUAAGAUGCAAACCUGGAGAACUGAAACAUCUAAGUAACCAGAGGAAAAUAAAACAAUAGUGAUUCUGUUAGUAGUGGCGAGCGAAAACGGAAUAGCCCAAACUAUUUUAACUUAAAUUUUAAAAUAGGGUAGUAGGACUAAAGUUAAAACUAAAUCAAGAACUUAAAUUAUUUGGAAAAAUAUACUAUAAAAGGUGAUAGUCCUGUCAAGGUAAAUGAUUUAGUUUUUUUUGGUAUCCUGAGUAAAUCGAAACUGGAGAAAUUUUGAUUGAAUUUGCCGGCACCAUCCGGUAAGGCUAAAUACUACUGAGAGACCGAUAGUGUACAAGUACCGUGAGGGAAAGGUGAAAAGUACUCUGAAUAAGAGAGUGAAAAGUUCCUGAAACUAUACGUUUACAAGCGGUUGAAGUUUUAAUACACAAUACUUAUUAGAACGACAGCGUGCCUUUUGCAUAAUGAGCCUACGAGUUAAUCUUUUUUGGCAAGGUUAAUUUUUUAAAAAAAAGAAGCCGGAGCGAAAGCGAGUUUUAAUAGAGCGAUUUAGUCAAAAGAGUUAGACGCGAAACUUGGUGAUCUACCCAUGAUCAGGCUGAAGUAUUGGUAAAACAAUAUGGAGGGCCGAACUAUUAGAUGUUGCAAAAUCUUUAGAUGAAUUGUGGGUAGGGGUGAAAGGCCAAUCAAACUAAGAAAUAGCUCGUACUCUUCGAAAUGCUUUUAGGAGCAGCCUUGAAUAAUAUACUAUCAGGGGUAGAGCUACCGAUAAAAUAAGAGGAAGUUAAAUUUUAUCUUGUUUAGACGAACUCCGAAUACUGUUUAGUUUUUUUUCAGGAGAGAGGGUUAGGGUGCUAAGGUCCUAAUCCAAAAGGGAAAGAACCCAGAUCAUCAGCUAAGGUCCCAAAAUUUAUACUAAGUUGAACUAAGGAAGUUUAUUUGCUAAGACAGCUAGAAUGUUGGCUUGGAAGCAGCCAUCAUUUAAAGAGUGCGUAACAGCUCACUAGUUAAGCAAAAAAGCGUCAAUAAUAAGCGGGCAUUAAGUAUAAUACCGAAGCUAUGACUUUAUUUGUUUUAACAAAUUAAAGGGUAGAAGAGCAUUCCAAUUGAGUUGAAGUUAAAAAGAAAUUUUUGGUGGAUUUUUUGGAAGAGAAAAUGUAGGCAUAAGUAACGAAAAUAAUAGCGAGAAACUAUUACACCGUAAAACUAAGGUUUUCACGGCUAUGAUAAUCAACCGUGAGUUAGUCGGUCCCUAAAAAUUAAUCGAAAGGUGAAAUUGAUGGAUAAUCGUUUAAUAUUCCGAUACUAGCUAGUAAUAGAAAUGAAGAGACGAAGAAGUGAAAAUUUUGCCCUGUGACGGAAAUCAGGGUUAAAGCUUGUAGGUAUAAAUAUAAUAGGAAAAUCCAUUAUGUUUGCUGAAAGUUAUAGUACUAUGAUCCUUUUUUAGGAAAUUAGAUAAUAAAUUUAAUCAUACUUCCAAGAAAAUCUUCUAAUUGAUAUUAUUUAUUAGCUAUCCGUACCGUAAACCAACACAGGUAGUUGAGGAGAGUAUCCUAAGGUGUUCGAGUGAUUCGUGGCUAAGGAACUAGGCAAAAAUACUCCGUAACUUCGGGAGAAGGAGUGCCUAACUUUAUAAAUAACUUAAAGUUGUUUAUAAUGAAAGGCCGCAGUGAAAAGAUCUGGACGACUGUUUACCAAAAACACAUGGCUUUGCAAAAUUGAAAAAUUAAGUAUAAGGCCUGACACCUGCCCGGUGCCGGAAGGUUAAUAAAAUUUGUUAGAUUAUAAUUUUAAUCGAAGCAUUUAAUAGAAGCCCCGGUAAACGGCGGCCGUAACUAUAACGGUCCUAAGGUAGCGAAAUUCCUUGUCGGGUAAGUUCCGACCUGCACGAAUGGGGUGUAACGAUCCGGGUACUGUCUCGGUCACGAGCUCGGUGAAAUUGAAGUAGCGGUGAAGAUGCCGUUUAUCCGCAACGGGACGGAAAGACCCCAUGAACCUUUACUAUAGUUUAAUAUUGUUAAUAUAUAUGUAAUGUGUAGGAUAGGUGGGAGAUUAUGAUUUUUUAAUGCUAGUUAAAAAGGAGUCGACCUUGAAAUACCACCCUUUAUAUAUUUAUUAUCUCAUCUUUUUUAUUUAAAGAGACAUUGUUAAAUGGGUAGUUUGACUGGGGUGGUCGCCUCCAAAAGAGUAACGGAGGCUUUCAAAGGUACCCUCAAUUCGAAUGGUAAUCGUAUUUAGAGUGCAAUAAUACAAGGGUGCUUGACUGUGAGACAAACAAGUCGAGCAGGGUCGAAAGACGGAUAUAGUGAUCCGGUGGUUUCUAUAUGGGAAGGCCAUCGCUCAAAGGAUAAAAGGUACUCUGGGGAUAACAGGCUGAUCUCCCCCAAGAGAUCUAAUCGACGGGGAGGUUUGGCACCUCGAUGUCGGCUCGUCACAACCUGGAGCUGAAGCAGGUUCCAAGGGUUGGGCUGUUCGCCCAUUAAAGUGGCACGCGAGCUGGGUUCAGAACGUCGUG
RNAcentral lists this ribosomal RNA (2585 nucleotides) under metagenome. RNAcentral describes it as "bacterial LSU rRNA". It matches the Rfam family "Bacterial large subunit ribosomal RNA", at positions 84 to 2623 of the family's 2925-position model. The record is from RNAcentral.